AUUGAACGCUGGCGGCAUGCUUAACACAUGCAAGUCGAACGGAAACAGCAAGAGCUUGCUCUUGGCUGUCGAGUGGCGGACGGGUGAGUAACGCGUGGGAAUCUACCCAGUAGUGGGGGAUAGCCCAGAGAAAUUUGGAUUAAUACCGCAUACGAUCUACGGAUGAAAGGUGGCCUCUCCUUGGAAGCUAUCGCUAUUGGAUGAGCCCGCGUUAGAUUAGCUAGUUGGUAGGGUAAGAGCCUACCAAGGCGACGAUCUAUAGCUGGUCUGAGAGGACGACCAGCCACAUCGGGACUGGGACACGGCCCGGACUCCUACGGGAGGCAGCAGUGGGGAAUAUUGGACAAUGGGCGCAAGCCUGAUCCAGCAAUGCCGCGUGUGUGAAGAAGGCCUGAGGGUUGUAAAGCACUUUCAAUUGUGAGAAGAGUAUAAGAUUAAUACUCUUGUACUUUGACGUUAACUUUAGAAGAAGCACCGGCUAACUCUGUGCCAGCAGCCGCGGUAAUACAGAGGGUGCGAGCGUUAAUCGGAAUUACUGGGCGUAAAGCGCGCGUAGGCGGUUAUUUAAGUCAGAUGUGAAAUCCCAGGGCUCAACCUUGGAACUGCAUCUGAUACUGGGUAACUAGAGUUUUGGAGAGGGAAGUAGAAUUUCAGGUGUAGCGGUGAAAUGCAUAGAGAUCUGAAGGAAUACCAGUGGCGAAGGCGACUUCCUGGCCAAAAACUGAUGCUGAGGUGCGAAAGCGUGGGUAGCAAACGGGAUUAGAUACCCCGGUAGUCCACGCCGUAAACGAUGUCAACUAGUCGUUGGACCCCUUGAGGGUUUAGUGACGCAGCUAACGCAUUAAGUUGACCGCCUGGGGAGUACGGUCGCAAGACUAAAACUCAAAGGAAUUGACG
Molecule: ribosomal RNA, 897 nt
Filed under: uncultured bacterium
Lineage: Bacteria
Description: bacterial SSU rRNA
Rfam family: Bacterial small subunit ribosomal RNA
Source: RNAcentral